Molecule: ribosomal RNA, 524 nt
Filed under: uncultured bacterium
Lineage: Bacteria
Description: bacterial SSU rRNA
Rfam family: Bacterial small subunit ribosomal RNA
Source: RNAcentral
UAGUCCUAGCCGUAAACGAUGGGCACCAGGCAAUGGGUUUACCUAUGAGGCUCAUUGCCGUAGCUAAUGUGUUAAGUGCCCCGCCUGGGGAGUACGCUCGCAAGGGUAAAACUCAAAGGAAUUGACGGGGGAUCACACAAGCGGUGGAGCAUGUUGUUUAAUUCGAAGCAACGCGAAGAACCUUACCAGGCCUUGACAUGCACGGAUUAGCUCCCUGAAAGGGGAGUGACGGCUCUUCGGAGUUGGAACGUGUGCAGGUGUUGCAUGGCUGUCGUCAGCUCGUGCCGUGAGGUGUUGGGUUAAGUCCCGUAACGAGCGAAACCCUUAUCGUUAGUUGCCAGCGGGUUAUGCCGGGGACUCUAGAGAGACUGCCGGUGUUAAACCGGAGGAAGGUGGGGAUGACGUCAAGUCCUCAUGGCCUUUAUGACUAGGGCUGCACACGUCCUACAAUGCGGCAUACAAAGGGAAGCAAACCCGUGAGGGGGAGCAAACCCCAAAAAGUGUCGCUCAGUUCGGAUUGCAGG